This 230-nucleotide ribosomal RNA is filed under the name uncultured bacterium. Its description in RNAcentral is "partial 16S ribosomal RNA". It matches the Rfam family "Bacterial small subunit ribosomal RNA", at positions 567 to 791 of the family's 1533-position model. The record is from RNAcentral.
AGACGUGCGCAGGCGGUAAUGUAAGACAGAUGUGAAAUCCCCGGGCCUCAACCUGGGAACUGCAUUUGUGACUGCAUUGCUGGAGUGCGGCAGAGGGGGAUGGAAUUCCGCGUGUAGCAGUGAAAUGCGUAGAUAUGCGGAGGAACACCGAUGGCGAAGGCAAUCCCCUGGGCCUGCACUGACGCUCAUGCACGAAAGCGUGGGGAGCAAACAGGAUUAGAUACCCGUGU